GCAGGGUAGCCACCCAGUAAUCAGAACAAGUUAGAAUGUGGGCAACUCAGCAGUCGUUGCGCAGGCACUUUGUUGACUCUAGAUAACCUUGCGCCGAUCACACGCCCCCGUGACGGCGCAUUCGGAUGUCUGCCCUAUCAACUUUUGAUGGUACUUUCUGCGCCUACCAUGGUGACCACAGGUAACGGGGAAUCAGAAUUCAAUUCCAGAGCCUGAGAAACGGCUACCGCAUCCAAGGAAGGCAGCAGGCGCUCAAAUUACCCACUCCCGACGUGGGGAGGUAGUGAC
Pelobates cultripes (western spadefoot toad) is the source of this 288-nucleotide non-coding RNA. The record is from the annotation of a GenBank genome assembly. NCBI's taxonomy places the organism in Eukaryota, Metazoa, Chordata, Amphibia, Anura, Pelobatidae.